GACGAACGCUGGCGGCGUGCUUAACACAUGCAAGUCGAACGAAGAGCGAUGGAAGCUUGCUUCUAUCAAUCUUAGUGGCGCACGGGUGAGUAACGCGUAAUCAACCUGCCCUUCAGAGGGGGACAACAGUUGGAAACGACUGCUAAUACCGCAUACGAUCUAAUCUCGGCAUCGAGGAUAGAUGAAAGGUGGCCUCUACAUGUAAGCUAUCACUGAAGGAGGGGAUUGCGUCUGAUUAGCUAGUUGGAGGGGUAAAGGCCCACCAAGGCGAAGAUCAGUAGCCGGUCUGGGAGGAUGAACGGCCAAAUUGGGAAUGGGACACGGCCCAGACUCCUACGGGAGGCAGCAGUGGGGAAACUUCCGCAAUGGACGGAAGGCUGACGGAGCAACGCCGCGGGAGCGAUGACGGCCUUCGGGUUGUAAAGCUCUGUUAAUCGGGACGAAAGGCCUUCUUGCGAAUAGUGAGAAGGAUUGACGGUACCGGAAGAGAAAGCCACGGCUAACUACGUG
RNAcentral lists this ribosomal RNA (510 nucleotides) under uncultured bacterium. RNAcentral describes it as "partial 16S ribosomal RNA". It matches the Rfam family "Bacterial small subunit ribosomal RNA", at positions 28 to 507 of the family's 1533-position model. The record is from RNAcentral.